This 57-nucleotide transfer RNA is filed under the name Potamotrygonocestus sp. MZUSP 7996. Its description in RNAcentral is "tRNA-Arg". The record is from RNAcentral. Lineage: Eukaryota; Metazoa; Platyhelminthes; Cestoda; Tetraphyllidea; Onchobothriidae.
AACAUAAUUUAUUCUAUGUUACGGCCAUAGAGGCGGUAAUAAAAUUACCUUAUGUUU